Long non-coding RNA from Arabidopsis lyrata subsp. lyrata, 722 nucleotides. RefSeq lists it as uncharacterized. The transcript has 3 exons. The record is from RefSeq and is a predicted model, not a curated record. Lineage: Eukaryota; Viridiplantae; Streptophyta; Magnoliopsida; Brassicales; Brassicaceae.
CAUAUUUUAAUCAUAGAGUUACCUCUCUAUCAUUUCUUCAUAUUCUCUAACUUGAAGAAUGUCAAGGAACGAAUCCACCGCCGUCGUCUCUGUUGUCACGCCGGAGAAGACCAUUGUUUCCAAAUGCGGCGAUUCACGUGAUGUGCUUUGCCGUGACGGCGUAGCCAGUCCUCUUUCCGUGGAUCACAAGUGAUGAACAGCCGGAUCGACCCGAUGAAUUGAUUCGGAUCCAGCAAGCAGGUGGGCGGGUUAUUAUUGGGAUGUAGCUAAGGUUCUUGGAGUUCUUGCCAUGUCUAGAGCAAUUGGCCAUAUUUACUUGAAACCAUAUGACGACGACGACGGAUCCGAAAGUAAUAGUGACAGAUGGAACCGACGACGACGAGUGUUUGAUCUUGGCGAGUGAUGGACUAUGGGACGUUGUACCAAAUGAGACGGCGUUAUGGAAUGGCUCGCGUGUGCCCUCGAGGUACUGGUAGAGCGGAUGGUGAUGAUUCCGUUGCAGCAGCGACACACAAUGCUUGCUCUGAUGCUUCGUUGCUAUUAACGAAGUUGGCUCUAGCAAGACCGACCUUCGAUAACGUGAGUGGUGUGGUCCUGUGGUUGACAGGAGGAAGAGGAGGAAUAAUCAACCAUCGUCAUAAUAUUUAGUGUUUAAUUAGUAGUAGUAUUAGAGAAAUUUUCACAUAGCCUAAUUGUAAUUUUUAUAUCAAGUUAUCCUUUUC